RNAcentral lists this ribosomal RNA (465 nucleotides) under uncultured bacterium. Its description in RNAcentral is "partial 16S ribosomal RNA". It matches the Rfam family "Bacterial small subunit ribosomal RNA", at positions 338 to 795 of the family's 1533-position model. The record is from RNAcentral.
CCUACGCGUGGCUGCAGUAGGGAAUCUUCCACCAUGGGCGAAAGCCUGAUGGAGCAACGCCGCGUGGGUGAAGAAGGUCUUCGGAUCGUAAAACCCUGUUGUUAGAGAAGAACGUGCGUGAGAGUAACUGUUCACGUUUCGACGGUAUCUAACCAGAAAGCCACGGCUAACUACGUGCCAGCAGCCGCGGUAAUACGUAGGUGGCAAGCGUUAUCCGGAUUUAGUGGGGGUAAAGGGAACGCAGGCGGUCUUUUAAGUCUGAUGUGAAAGCCUUGGGCUUAACCGGAGUAGUGCAUUGGAAACUGGGAGACUUGAGUGCAGAAGCGGAGAGUGGAACUCCAUGUGUAGCGGUGAAAUGCGUAGAUAGAUGGAAGAACACCAGUGGCGAAAGCGGCUCUCUGGUCUGUAACUGACGCUGAGGUUCGAAAGCGUGGGUAGCAAACAGGAUUAGAUACCCCUGUAGUC